This 468-nucleotide ribosomal RNA is filed under the name uncultured bacterium. RNAcentral's name for it is "partial 16S ribosomal RNA". It matches the Rfam family "Bacterial small subunit ribosomal RNA", at positions 28 to 507 of the family's 1533-position model. The record is from RNAcentral.
GACGAACGCUGGCGGCGUGCUUAACACAUGCAAGUCGAACGGAAAGACCCUGCUUUUGUGGGGUGCUCGAGUGGUGAACGGGUGAGUAACACGUGAGUAACCUGCCCUUGACUUUGGGAUAACUUCAGGAAACUGGGGCUAAUACCGGAUAGGAGCUCCUGCUGCAUGGUGGGGGUUGGAAAGUUUCGGCGGUUGGGGAUGGACUCGCGGCUUAUCAGCUUGUUGGUGGGGUAGUGGCUUACCAAGGCUUUGACGGGUAGCCGGCCUGAGAGGGUGACCGGCCACAUUGGGACUGAGAUACGGCCCAGACUCCUACGGGAGGCAGCAGUGGGGAAUAUUGCACAAUGGGCGGAAGCCUGAUGCAGCAACGCCGCGUGCGGGAUGACGGCCUUCGGGUUGUAAACCGCUUUCGCCUGUGACGAAGCGUGAGUGACGGUAAUGGGUAAAGAAGCACCGGCUAACUACGUG